AAUAGCCUAACGGCUGAACCAGCAACUUGGAAGAAUGUAUAGCGAAAGCUAAUUGUUUUAAUUAAAGCAAUCUCGAUUUUUAUCGAAUAAAGUUCUAGGUAAAAUUAUGAUAAUGACAUUUUUUACCUAUUAGUCUUGUCCAAAAUACGUGCCAGCAGUCGCGGUAAUACGUAUGAGACUAGUGUUAUUCAUCUUUAAUAGGUUUAAAGGGUACCUAGACGGUAAAUUAAGCCUUAAUCGGAACUGAUUUACUAGAGUUACUACUGAGGGAGUUUUAAUGUACUAGAGGUGUAGAGAUAAAAUUCAAUUAUACCUUUUUUCUAACGAAAAUCUUCGGCACAGAUACAGGUGAAAACGUCUCCUUAUCAGAUAACUGACGUUGAGGGACGAAGGCUUUUUACAGCGAACAGGAUUAGAGACCCUGGUAGUCAAAGCAGAAAAUGAUGAGUGUCAUAGAAUAGAUAAUUGUUUGUUCUAUAAAUGAAAGUGUAAACACUCCACCUCAAGAGUAAUUUGGCAACAUUGGAACUGAAGUCAUUAGACCGUGUCUGAAACCAGUAGUGAAGUAUGUUGUUUAAUUUGAUAAUCCGCAAAAAACCUUACCACAACUUGAAUGUUUAUAUUUAAACAAACACAAGUGUUGCACGGCUGUCUUCAGUUAAUGUCGUGAGACUAUGGUUAGUUCCAGUAAAUUAACGCAAACCCUUAUUCAUGUUUACAACUUGAAUAGUUCUCCAUUAUAUAGGAUAAGAUAACAGGGAUUAAGACAAGUCAUCAUGGCCUUAAUGUUGUGGGCUAUAGACGUGCCACGUAAGCCUUUACAAAAGGAUGUGAAAUUGAGAAAUUGAGCUAAUCCCACAAAAUUGGCUAUACAUUUAAU
This 880-nucleotide ribosomal RNA is filed under the name Micarea pusilla. RNAcentral's name for it is "SSU rRNA". It matches the Rfam family "Bacterial small subunit ribosomal RNA", at positions 370 to 1298 of the family's 1533-position model. The record is from RNAcentral. Lineage: Eukaryota; Fungi; Ascomycota; Lecanoromycetes; Lecanorales; Micareaceae.